GCCAUGAUACACCUGCUAGCUGAAGCGGUAGUCCUAAACAUUACAGAAGCUGUUACUAGCUAGCUCAGAAGACAACCCGUAACCUUGGCACUGUCCAGCCCAACCAAUCUGUUUAACUACAGUAUCCUGCCCACAUUUUGAGUGGUACAGGGCGUUAAUUUAUCUCCACUUGGUAUCACAACCUAGACUAGCUUUAAUAACAUUUCCGAACAAUAGACAAGCAAUGCUCCACAGAAAAAGGCCCAUGGUUCAGCCAGCGCUUGAGAAGGAGUUAACCCAAUGCACGAUUUACGCAGCGCUCGCCAACUGCAACUCUUUUUAAAGUCAGGGCAGCAAGUUCUUUAGAGACAAACUGUGUAAAUCAUGGAUUACGGGGAGGGAACCCACUGCAUACAGAUUCACGUCAAGGACGUCCCAGCAGACUCCUGUCAGGAAACAAGUAAACCUACGAACCUCCAUAGAGAACAUCAAGAAAAUGUUAGAUUAUCUCGCACCCGAGCCCGGAGCCGGUUCUCCCUACGGGACAAUUAAGGUGGUGAAACAAAUGUGGGAAAGAGUCUGGAAAUAUCCCAGGCCUCUCUGGGGUGUCAGAGAUCAAGACAGGAAAGUAACCAAGGGAGCCCGCCGCCAUGAUGAAAACACACCUCGUAACGUCUCCACCUUGGAAACAGUUCUUCAGAACAACCUUCACUAGCUUUCCCUCACGAGACUUGCAACCAAAUAAUACAAUUUGAACACACGAGAACUCACCUCAUCGUACCUCUGCAAGAAAGGAUUGACACAAUCAUUUCGAUGGCUUUAUUUGCUUCGAGACGUUUUUGACGAGAGGAAUCAAGAAUCUGGGAACAAUGUGAGACAGAGCAAAAAAAAAAUCUAUUUGCCGAUAGCUGAUCUUUAUCAUUCACAUGCCUCACCACUUUCUGCCUGGUCUUCAGGGGCUGAUCCAUCCCCAGCCUGCUACUGAGCUGGUCAGAAAAUCCAAUAAACCUGGGAUUCGUUU
This is a long non-coding RNA of Osmerus eperlanus (European smelt), 1000 nucleotides long. RefSeq lists it as uncharacterized. The transcript has 4 exons. The record is from RefSeq and is a predicted model, not a curated record. Lineage: Eukaryota; Metazoa; Chordata; Actinopteri; Osmeriformes; Osmeridae.